Molecule: long non-coding RNA, 732 nt
Organism: Ctenopharyngodon idella (grass carp)
Lineage: Eukaryota; Metazoa; Chordata; Actinopteri; Cypriniformes; Xenocyprididae
Exons: 9
Source: RefSeq, a predicted model, not a curated record
GUAGGGCAGACACUGAAGGAAACUCAUCAUUUCACUCUCUUCCUCUGAACAUCUUCUCAGCUCUACUGGUUUCUUCUCUGUUUGUAGUUUCAGCACUUCCAGGAGGACGGAGGUCUUUCUCUGUGAGAGAUCUAUGAUCCAGACAUCAGGUGACUGGAAAACUGACUGUAAUGCUGGAAGGAAACUCCUGCCUGUUUGAGUCUCAUAGUUCUUCACAUGUUCAGUAAAAGUUGAAGCUUCACGAGUCCCAGCAUUGCAGAAGGACAACAGUUGAAUAAGCUCUACUGGUUUCUUCUCUGUUUGGAGUUUCAGCACUUCCAGGAGGACGGAGGUCUUUCUCUGUGAGAGAUCUAUGAUCCAGACAUCAGGUGACUGGAAAACUGACUGUAAUGCUGGAAGGAAACUCCUGCCUGUUUGAGUCUCAUAGUUCUUCACAUGUUCAGUAAAAGUUGAAGCUUCACGAGUCCCAGCAUUGCAGAAGGACAACAGUUGAAUAAGCUCUACUGGUUUCUUCUCUGUUUGGAGUUUCAGCACUUCCAGGAGGACGGAGGUCUUUCUCUCUGAGAGAUCUAUGAUCCAGACAUCAGGUGACUGGAAAACUGACUGUAACACUGGAAGGAAACUCCAGCCUGUUUGAGUCUCAUAGUUCUUCACAUGUGAGCAAAGAUCCAGCAGUGCAUCACACAGUUCUGGUUUGUUUCUGGGUCUCAGAUCAAAAAAGGAGCAACUGCA